AGUCAUAUGCUUGUCUCAAAGAUUAAGCCAUGCAUGUCUCAGUACAAGCCGAAUUAAGGUGAAACCGCGAAAGGCUCAUUAAAUCAGUUAUGGUUCCUUAGAUCGUACCCACAUUUACUUGGAUAACUGUGGUAAUUCUAGAGCUAAUACAUGCAAACAGAGCUCCGACCGGAGACGGAAGGAGCGCUUUUAUUAGAUCAAAACUAAUCGGCGGCGGCUUCGGCCGUUCGUCGUACACCUUGGUGAAUCUGAAUAACUUUCUGCUGAUCGCAUGGUCUCGCACCGGCGACGCAUCUUUCAAAUGUCUGCCUUAUCAACUGUCGAUGGUAGGUUCUGCGCCUACCAUGGUUGUAACGGGUAACGGGGAAUCAGGGUUCGAUUCCGGAGAGGGAGCCUGAGAAACGGCUACCACAUCCAAGGAAGGCAGCAGGCGCGCAAAUUACCCACUCCCGGCACGGGGAGGUAGUGACGAAAAAUAACGAUACGGGACUCAUCCGAGGCCCCGUAAUCGGAAUGAGUACACUCUAAACCCUUUAACGAGGAUCAAUUGGAGGGCAAGUCUGGUGCCAGCAGCCGCGGUAAUUCCAGCUCCAAUAGCGUAU
This 602-nucleotide ribosomal RNA is filed under the name Ordobrevia foveicollis. Its description in RNAcentral is "SSU rRNA". It matches the Rfam family "Eukaryotic small subunit ribosomal RNA", at positions 22 to 602 of the family's 1831-position model. Lineage: Eukaryota; Metazoa; Arthropoda; Insecta; Coleoptera; Elmidae. The record is from RNAcentral.